Molecule: ribosomal RNA, 1074 nt
Filed under: uncultured bacterium
Lineage: Bacteria
Description: bacterial SSU rRNA
Rfam family: Bacterial small subunit ribosomal RNA
Source: RNAcentral
GUUUGAUCCUGGCUCAGAGCGAACGCUGGCGGCGUGCUUAACACAUGCAAGUCGAACGAGUGUAGCAAUACAUUCGUGGCGAACGGGUGCGUAACACGUGGAUAACCUUCCUUCAGGUGGGGAAUAACCCAGUGAAAAUUGGGAUAAUACCGCAUAACAAGACGGGGGCACAUGCUCUUGUCUUCAAAGGCGCAAGUCGCCGGAAGAGGGAUCCGCGGCCGAUUAGCUUGUUGGCGGGGUAACGGCCCACCAAGGCAAUGAUCGGUAUCCGGACUGAGAGGUUGGCCGGACACACUGGAACUGAGACACGGUCCAGACUCCUACGGGAGGCAGCAGUGGGGAAUCUUGCGCAAUGGGCGAAAGCCUGACGCAGCGACGCCGCGUGGGGGAUGAAGCUUCUCGGAGUGUAAACCCCUUUCGACCCGGACGAAACCCCGCAAGGGAUUGACGGUACGGGUAUAAGAAGCCCCGGCUAACUACGUGCCAGCAGCCGCGGUAAAACGUAGGGGGCCAGCGUUGCUCGGAAUUACUGGGCGUAAAGGGUCCGUAGGCGGUGUGGCAAGUCGGUAGUGAAAUCUCUCGGCUUAACUGAGAGGCUGCUGCCGAAACUGCCAUGCUCGAGUGCGAGAGAGGCGAGUGGAAUUACGGGUGUAGCGGUGAAAUGCGUAGAUAUCCGUAGGAACAUCCGAGGCGAAAGCGGCUCGCUGGAUCGCAACUGACGCUGAGGGACGAAAGCUAGGGGAGCAAACAGGAUUAGAUACCCUGGUAGUCCUAGCCCUAAACCAUCACGACUUGGGGUUUGCCCUGUACGGGGCAAGUCCCGGAGCUAACGCGUUAAGUCCUGCGCCUGGGGAGUACGGUCGCAAGGCUGAAACUCAAAGGGAAUUGACGGGGGCCCGCACAAGCGGUGGAACAUGUGGUUCAAUUCGACGCAACGCGAAGAACCUUACCUGGGCUUGAACCGCACAGGACCAUCUUGAGAAAUCAGGACUUCCCGCAAGGGACCUGGUGUAGAAGGUGCUGCAUGGCUGUCGUCAGCUCCUUGGCCGUGAGAGGGUUGGGGUUAAGUUUCGG